UACGAGGAUGGGAACAAGAUUCUUUA
RNAcentral lists this non-coding RNA (26 nucleotides) under Rattus norvegicus (Norway rat). The record is from RNAcentral. Lineage: Eukaryota; Metazoa; Chordata; Mammalia; Rodentia; Muridae.